GGCUUCGGUUAUGCCUGUUGUACUCUGUGAUGACUCUGGAUAACUUCACUGAUCGCAGUCGGCCUUGUGUCGGCGACGGAUCUUUCAAAUGUCUGCCCUAUCAACUGUCGAUGGUAGGUGACCUGCCUACCAUGGUGAUAACGGGUAACGGGGAAUCAGGGUUCGAUUCCGGAGAGGGAGCCUGAGAAACGGCUACCACUUCUAAGGAAGGCAGCAGGCGCGAAAAUUACCCACUCCCGGCACGGGGAGGUAGUGACGAAAAAUACGAAUACGGGACUCAACUGAGGCUCCGUAAUUCGAAUGAGUACACUUUAAAUCCUUUAACGAGGACCAAUUGGAGGGCAAGUCUGGUGCCAGCAGCCGCGGUAACUCCAGCUCCAAAAGCGUAUAUUAAAGUUGCUGCAGUUAAAAAGCUCGUAGUUGGAUCUGGGUGGUGUGGCCACAUGCCGUUGCUCGUGCUACUGCCUAGACUACGGUCUUGGUGGGAGUGCGGGUCGGUGUAGUUGCCGUGCAACC
Molecule: ribosomal RNA, 516 nt
Filed under: Brachylaima arcuatum
Lineage: Eukaryota; Metazoa; Platyhelminthes; Trematoda; Diplostomida; Brachylaimidae
Description: SSU rRNA
Rfam family: Eukaryotic small subunit ribosomal RNA
Source: RNAcentral